Long non-coding RNA from Cololabis saira (Pacific saury), 272 nucleotides. RefSeq lists it as uncharacterized. Lineage: Eukaryota; Metazoa; Chordata; Actinopteri; Beloniformes; Belonidae. The transcript is spliced from 3 exons. The record is from RefSeq and is a predicted model, not a curated record.
GGUGGCAGAGAACAACAGAGAAAGGGGAGUCCUGAGAGAGAGCAAGCUCAUUCACUCCAACCACAACUGAGAAAACCACACGCACCUCGGACCACAGACUAGAGGAAGACCUGUCUCCUUUCUUUUUUCCUGUGGGAUAAUGGCUCCUAUGAAAUAUGCAGGUAUUCUGCACUUCCUCCUAUUGGGACUACUUUUGUCGUCAGCAUUAGUAGCAGGACAACCUAGCACUACCUCCACGCCUACUACUACUACUACCACAGCCGCCCCUACUA